CAGGCCUAACACAUGCAAGUCGAGCGCCCCGCAAGGGGAGCGGCAGACGGGUGAGUAACGCGUGGGAACCUACCCUUUCCUGCGGAAUAGCUCCGGGAAACUGGAAUUAAUACCGCAUACGCCCUUUGGGGGAAAGAUUUAUCGGGGAAGGAUGGGCCCGCGUUGGAUUAGCUAGUUGGUGGGGUAAAGGCCUACCAAGGCGACGAUCCAUAGCUGGUCUGAGAGGAUGAUCAGCCACAUUGGGACUGAGACACGGCCCAAACUCCUACGGGAGGCAGCAGUGGGGAAUAUUGGACAAUGGGCGCAAGCCUGAUCCAGCCAUGCCGCGUGAGUGAUGAAGGUCUUAGGAUUGUAAAGCUCUUUCACCGGGGACGAUAAUGACGGUACCCGGAGAAGAAGCCCCGGCUAACUUCGUGCCAGCAGCCGCGGUAAU
Molecule: ribosomal RNA, 433 nt
Filed under: uncultured bacterium
Lineage: Bacteria
Description: bacterial SSU rRNA
Rfam family: Bacterial small subunit ribosomal RNA
Source: RNAcentral